UACGGAGGGUGCAAGCGUUGUCCGGAAUUAUUGGGCGUAAAGAGCUCGUAGGCGGUCUGUCGCGUCUGCUGUGAAAACUCGGGGCUUAACCCCGGGCCUGCAGUGGGUACGGGCAGACUAGAGUGCGGUAGGGGAGACUGGAAUUCCUGGUGUAGCGGUGAAAUGCGCAGAUAUCAGGAGGAACACCGAUGGCGAAGGCAGGUCUCUGGGCCACUACUGACGCUGAGAAGCGAAAGCAUGGGGAGCGAACAGG
This 253-nucleotide ribosomal RNA is filed under the name uncultured bacterium. RNAcentral's name for it is "partial 16S ribosomal RNA". It matches the Rfam family "Bacterial small subunit ribosomal RNA", at positions 524 to 776 of the family's 1533-position model. The record is from RNAcentral.